Molecule: long non-coding RNA, 832 nt
Organism: Carassius auratus (goldfish)
Lineage: Eukaryota; Metazoa; Chordata; Actinopteri; Cypriniformes; Cyprinidae
Exons: 4
Source: RefSeq, a predicted model, not a curated record
GUAAAGGUUUGAUAAAUAAAAUGUGUUGUAAUAACUUAAAAAUUUAAAAAAGUUCAUUAGUCUCAAAUUUUCUGUGUCAUGUGUACAUUUUUUUAUUUUUAAGUUUACAGUGCUCAAACGCUUUAAUUGAUUUUUGUCAUAGCACUAUCCCGCCUGACGUCACAUCCAUGUGCAUUCAACGCACAUGCUCAUCUGGGCCUGGGAGAGAGUUCGCCAUUUUGGUCUGCUUGCUCGGGUGCGUUUUUUUUUUUGGUCGAGAAAAGUUGAGAAAAUAUAGCGAAACAGGUUUCACAGUGGCAUUAUUCUGUGAAUACACGCGCUGUAGCAUGCAGCAAUUUUACGAAGAUCAUCGGACAAAGUUUUAUUCCGUUUUGACCACGCUGUCUGCUGUUAUAUCGAUUUUGGUUUUGGGAGCAUAAAUCUGGUUAAAACUGAAGCAGCUGGCCAGCAUACAGCGUUUUCAGUACGGUCCUACGAGUGCUGGUACAUCGAACAUUUAAAAUCAUUUAAGCUGACAUCAUUGGACAACUUCUCUGUGCAUGAGCUAUCAGAACUAAAUGACACAGAAUGGAAGCGCAGAACUUUUUCCUGCAUGUCCAUACAUCCACUGACAUUGUGAGGAAGAUGACUUUAUCUUCACGUCCAGCAUCUGUGGAAGAGCUAAAAACAAAGAUAAAAGAGAAAUUUGAUCUCACCAUUGACUUUACCCUAUCAUACCAAGAUCCUGACUUCAAUGGGCAACUAUGUUCCCUUUUAGACAUUGAGGAACUUCCACAGAAGGCUGUCCUUAUAGUGGUGCGAUCUGAGAAUGAUGCUAGUUCUGUAGCAUCUG